UCCCCGUUGCCGAGGCAGUCUGGUUAGAAAAAUCCAACUAACCACAAGGGUUGCGCUCGUUGAGGGACUUAACCCAACAUCUCACGACACGAGCUGACGACGGCCAUGCAACACCUGUCACCGAGUUCCUUACGGCACAGUUUCCUUUCGGAAGCCUUCUCGGGAUGUCAAACCCUGGUAAGGUUCUUCGCUUACCAUCGAAUUAAACAACACGCUCCACCGCUUGUGCGGGUCCCCGUCAAUUCCUUUGAGUUUUAAGCUUGCGCUCGUACUACUCAGGCGGGAUGCUUAACGCGUUAGCUUCGCUACGGAAGGGGUCGAUACCUCCCACAGCUAGCAUCCAUAGUUUACGGCGUGGACUAC
Molecule: unclassified non-coding RNA, 363 nt
Filed under: uncultured bacterium
Lineage: Bacteria
Description: contains 16S-23S intergenic spacer region
Source: RNAcentral